RNAcentral lists this ribosomal RNA (468 nucleotides) under uncultured bacterium. RNAcentral describes it as "partial 16S ribosomal RNA". It matches the Rfam family "Bacterial small subunit ribosomal RNA", at positions 28 to 507 of the family's 1533-position model. The record is from RNAcentral.
GACGAACGCUGGCGGCGUGCUUAACACAUGCAAGUCGAACGGAAAGGCCCUGCUUUUGUGGGGUGCUCGAGUGGCGAACGGGUGAGUAACACGUGAGUAACCUGCCCUUGACUUUGGGAUAACUUCAGGAAACUGGGGCUAAUACCGGAUAGGAGCUCCUGCUGCAUGGUGGGGGUUGGAAAGUUUCGGCGGUUGGGGUUGGACUCGCGGCUUAUCAGCUUGUUGGUGGGGUAGUGGCUUACCAAGGCUUUGACGGGUAGCCGGCCUGAGAGGGUGACCGGCCACAUUGGGCCUGCGAUACGGCCCAGACUCCUACGGGAAGAAGCAGUGGGGAAUAUUGCACAAUGGGCGGAAGCCUGAGGCAGCAACGCCGCGUGCGGGAUGACGGCCUUCGGGUUGUAAACCGCUUUCGCCUGUGACGAAGCGUGAGUGACGGUAAUGGGUAAAGAAGCACCGGCUAACUACGUG